CCCCUCUCAGGGCCACACCUGGAGAGUUUCCAGUACUCUACCGGUCUCGGCUACGGGAGGGAGAGUCAAGCAGAAGGAUAGCCAUUCCAUUCCCAGCUUGGUCAGUGGCUAGCGAGUGGAAGGCCAUCUGCUACAAGU
This 138-nucleotide small nucleolar RNA is filed under the name Ornithorhynchus anatinus (platypus). Lineage: Eukaryota; Metazoa; Chordata; Mammalia; Monotremata; Ornithorhynchidae. The record is from RNAcentral.